AACGCAUUGCAUACAUGACAAA
RNAcentral lists this microRNA (22 nucleotides) under Drosophila virilis. Its description in RNAcentral is "dvi-miR-9707-3p". The record is from miRBase by way of RNAcentral. Lineage: Eukaryota; Metazoa; Arthropoda; Insecta; Diptera; Drosophilidae.